This 382-nucleotide ribosomal RNA is filed under the name uncultured eukaryote. Its description in RNAcentral is "partial 18S ribosomal RNA". It matches the Rfam family "Eukaryotic small subunit ribosomal RNA", at positions 592 to 976 of the family's 1831-position model. The record is from RNAcentral.
UGUAAGCGUAUACCAAAGUUGUUGCAGUUAAAACGCUCGUAGUCGGAAUUUGGCAGUUCCGGAUGUGUGCACGUCGUGUGCGCACUUCGCGGGGAUUGCUUUUGUGGUCUUGCGUAGGAUGAGGCACUUUUAUUAGUGAACGUCCUCACGCAACCACUUUUUACUGUGAGAAAAUCAGAGUGCUCAAAGCAGGCAUUUGCCGUGAAUGUAUUAGCAUGGAAUAAUAGAAUAGGACUUGGUUCUAUUCUGUUGGUUUGUUGGGACUGAGUAAUGAUUAAGAGGGACAGUUGGGGGCAUUUGUAUUUCGGUGCUAGAGGUGAAAUUCUUAGAUUACCGAAAGACAAACUGCUGCGAAAGCGUCUGCCAAGGAUGUUUUCAUUGA